RNAcentral lists this long non-coding RNA (304 nucleotides) under Phoenix dactylifera (date palm). Its description in RNAcentral is "long non-coding RNA (PDAC_LNC020149)". The record is from RNAcentral. Lineage: Eukaryota; Viridiplantae; Streptophyta; Magnoliopsida; Arecales; Arecaceae.
GAGCGUAAGGCACCCGCUCCUGAGGACCCGAAGAACUCGCCAGACCGGCCUCAGCUGGCCUGGGUGCGGCCGACCCCGUUGCUUCUUGGCUAUUCCCCGGCUCAGAGCUGGGGAAUUGGGGUCGAGUAGACGACUGACCGGACCGCUGCGUGGUAGAGGUGGGGCGUGCGAGCGCCAGAUCUGUUGAGGUCCUCCCUCCCUGGUCGGAAUUUGGAGCUUCCCGCCGACCAGGGACUUGCGAAAUCGGCACCGGACACGGAGGUGCCAUCGUGGCUCCGCCAGAGCCCACGCCCUCUCCCCGACC